GUUUUAGGGUUGGGGGGGUUGGCUUAGUUCUAGUUCCUCUGCCUUUGGCUAUUGGCAGGCCUUUUAUGUUCUUGGAGGAUGUGAGGGAAAUUUAAAUGGAGCUAGAUAGAUCUCAGCGGCUGGUUAGUGUAUUGACUGCAGGUUUCUCAUUUGGGAUGUGCUGUGCUUCGGUGGAAUUUUACGCUAAUUGUCGUGGCAUACUUCCACCUUAAUCGAUGCAUAUUGAUGAUGACAGCCUCCUGUGGUACGACCUCGGGUUCAUUCAGUUCCAUUCAAAAGGGCCAAGAGUGAACUGAACAUGACAGAACAUCCCAAUUUCCUCAGCAAACAAACAAAGGGUGGGGUGGCCAGUCAUCUCAUUAACCCUCAGUAUAUGGAGAAGAAUGCGGUGACAACUCCAAGCCCGAGUCAUUCAUGAGCUGACACUGAGGGCCCAGGAGAACUGGCCCUUCUAGGAGGGCUGGAUGCGGUAACGAGGCCCAGAUUCUUGCUCCCUUUUGCACUUCCUCUCAAUUGGUGGCCAGUCAGAACAAGUCAAGGUUAACAGUGCCAUCUACAGUAAAGAGGCUGCCUCUCUCCAACAGUGUUUUACAGGAAAUGAGGGGUUGAGAGAGCGGUACAGUACUCGGUCAUGAUGACCCAUCUCUAAAAGCAAGAGUGUGUUGUUACAGUUUUGUGUUUUCCACAACUUGGAAACCUAACUCUUCAGAUGGAGGUUGAAUUUGUAUAAUCGUGACAUCCUUUUCAGAGUCAAACAAAUUCAAUGCAUUAUUUUCAAAUUAUAUAUAUAUAUAUAUAUAUAAAAAAUUGAUCUGUGGAAUUAGAGUUGAUUGUAAUUAUUUUUUAUACAAAAAUUGAUAAUUUGAUUAUAUAGUAUAUACCUAAUCAACUAGGAAGUGUGAUCAAUUGAUUAUACAAAAAUCUAAAUACAUGAAUACUGAUGGACCCAGAAUGACACAUAUUCAAUGAUUAAUUUGGGCAAUAUAUGACAGACUUCAGAGUCCAAACAGAUCAGGGCCUCGGCCAUUGGGCCGUGGUGGGAAAAAAGCUUAAUACAGCUAUCACUGUUUGUCCUCACCCUUAUCCCAUUCUCCUUAAUCCACUCCACAACGCUGUGCUCUCCCACUUACCGGAAGCUCCAACAUUUACCUCAGGAUUUACCAGGUUUGGGCUGAAGUGGCUGUGAAUGGGAAAGUGCUAAUCUACAAGGCAGAUUUAGGAUUAGUCUGGUGA
Oncorhynchus mykiss (rainbow trout) is the source of this 1233-nucleotide non-coding RNA. NCBI's taxonomy places the organism in Eukaryota, Metazoa, Chordata, Actinopteri, Salmoniformes, Salmonidae. The record is from RefSeq and is a predicted model, not a curated record.